Molecule: long non-coding RNA, 1191 nt
Filed under: Panax ginseng (ginseng)
Lineage: Eukaryota; Viridiplantae; Streptophyta; Magnoliopsida; Apiales; Araliaceae
Description: long non-coding RNA (PGIN_LNC009701)
Source: RNAcentral
AAAAAUCAGACCCAAAUGUUUUACAAUUGGUGGCACUUAGAGAAAACCAUACUUCAAUUUGCUUUUGCUAGUGAUAUAUGUAUUACUAUAAAGUAUAUGAACCUUUUGAUUUUUGACUUUCAUGGUGAGAUAGGGGUGAUAUUUCAUAUAUGAAACUGCCCUCAAACUGCUUUAUGGAAAGUAGUUCUCUAAGGAAAAAUUUGGGGUUGAAAAUUUUGCAAUGACCUAGAUUCAGUAUAUUAUGUGGGAUCUGUAGACACGUCAACUCCCAAUAAUUAUUUGAUGCACGGUGGUCUAAAUUAAAUAUUAGGUUGGGUCAAGAUUGAAGGGUGUAUGAUGGUUGGUUUCAUAUCAUAAUCUCCAAAUCGUUGGUUAGGGGAAGAAAACAUAAAGCCAUAUAAUAGAAAAUGUUGAGGGCUCAUUUAUUUAUUCCAUCGUGAAAAUUAGGACUCCUAUGGGGAUCCUAACCGCAAUAACAAGUAACCGAAAUAAGAAAACAAAAGAAGACGAGAAUCAGAGGGAGUUUAGUUUUGAGAGAGAGAGAGAGAGUUUAGGUGAGAAGGGAGAAAGAGGUCAGGACAUGGGAGCCACAACUAGUGUUCUAAAAAUUCCCGCCUAGACAUUAGGCAGUCUUAUACCGCCUUGAUUUGUCUAGGCAUCUAAACCUCCGCCUAGACAGAAUCAGACCUCUAAUUUGAAGCUCUACAAUACUUAAAUGAAUUUGCUAAGUCUUAAAAAAUUGUUUUUUAUCGUAAUGUUUCAUGUAAAAUUUUAAAAAAUUACACGUAUGUUGUAUGUUUUUGUAUAGUAUAACAAGUAAAUACAAUAAAAAAAUAAAUGAGAUCCCCUAAAGAAACGCCUAGUCUAGAAAACUCCUAUGCACCUCCUAGGUGGCUUAAGCGCCCCUCCACUGCCUUGGUCCACCAAACGAUUUUUAGAACACUGGCCACAACUUGUGAAGUCAUAUUCAUUUUCAUUUUUCACAUAUCUCCUGCAAUUACAGACUCUUGGACUAUUUAUAGAGAUUUGAAGUGGGUUCUCUAAUACUAGACUCCUUGCUACCUAUCUUGCAAAAUUCUUUUUAUAGCUCGAGUUUGGCAGAAAAUGUGGUUAUAUUGAGGAAGGAUCCAUCAUAGAAUAUAUGUGAUGCCAAAAAAGUUUUUUUGAGAUUUAAAUUGGCAUAAGUUGGGG